AUUGAACGCUGGCGGCAGGCCUAACACAUGCAAGUCGAGCGGAGCGGCGGACGGGUGAGUAAUACCUAGGAAUCUGCCUGGUAGUGGGGGAUAACGUUCGGAAACGGACGCUAAUACCGCCUACUACCCGAUGAGCCUAGGUCGGAAUAGCUAGUUGGUGAGGUAAUGGCUCACCAAGGCUACGAUCCGUAACUGGUCUGAGAGGAUGAUCAGUGAAACGGGAAAUGAGACACGGUCCAGACUCCUACGGGAGGCAGCAGUUGGGAAGAUUGGACAAUGGGCGAAAGCCUGAUGCAGCCAUGCCGCGUGUGGGAAGAAGGUCUUCAGAUUGUAAAGCACUUUAAGUUGGGAGGCGUUACCGACAGAAUAUGCACCUGCUAACGCUGUUCCAGCAGCCGCGGUAAUAC
RNAcentral lists this ribosomal RNA (407 nucleotides) under uncultured bacterium. Its description in RNAcentral is "partial 16S ribosomal RNA". It matches the Rfam family "Bacterial small subunit ribosomal RNA", at positions 30 to 526 of the family's 1533-position model. The record is from RNAcentral.